RNAcentral lists this ribosomal RNA (446 nucleotides) under uncultured bacterium. RNAcentral describes it as "partial 16S ribosomal RNA". It matches the Rfam family "Bacterial small subunit ribosomal RNA", at positions 338 to 795 of the family's 1533-position model. The record is from RNAcentral.
CCUACGGGGUGCAGCAGUCGAGAAUCAUUCACAAUGGGGGAAACCCUGAUGGUGCGACGCCGCGUGGGGGAAUGAAGGUCUUCGGAUUGUAAACCCCUGUCAUGUGGGAGCAAAUUAAAAAGAUAGUACCACAAGAGGAAGAGACGGCUAACUCUGUGCCAGCAGCCGCGGUAAUACAGAGGUCUCAAGCGUUGUUCGGAAUCACUGGGCGGAAAGCGUGCGUAGGCUGUUUCGUAAGUCGUGUGUGAAAGGCGCGGGCUCAACCCGCGGACGGCACAUGAUACUGCGAGACUAGAGUAAUGGAGGGGGAACCGGAAUUCUCGGUGUAGCAGUGAAAUGCGUAGAUAUCGAGAGGAACACUCGUGGCGAAGGCGGGUUCCUGGACAUUAACUGACGCUGAGGCACGAAGGCCAGGGGAGCGAAAGGGAUUAGAUACCCUUGUAGUC